AUUAACUAGGCAUCUUGUUAAAAUGAAGAUUCUGAUUUCAUUGUCCUGGGAUUCUGCAUUUGUAACAAGUUCCUAGUGAUGCUGACGCUGCU
Molecule: microRNA precursor, 92 nt
Filed under: Mustela putorius furo (domestic ferret)
Lineage: Eukaryota; Metazoa; Chordata; Mammalia; Carnivora; Mustelidae
Description: miRNA (ENSMPUG00000022105.1)
Source: RNAcentral